UACGUAGGGUGCGAGCGUUAAUCGGAAUUACUGGGCGUAAAGCGUGCGCAGGCGGUUUUGUAAGCCAGGUGUGAAAUCCCCGGGCUUAACCUGGGAAGGGCAUUUGGGACUGCAAGGCUUGAGUGCGGUAGAGGAGACUGGAAUUCCUGGUGUAGCAGUGAAAUGCGUAGAUAUCAGGAGGAACACCGAUGGCGAAGGCAGGGCUCUGGGCUGACACUGACGCUCAUGCACGAAAGCGUGGGGAGCAAACAGG
This 253-nucleotide ribosomal RNA is filed under the name uncultured bacterium. RNAcentral describes it as "partial 16S ribosomal RNA". It matches the Rfam family "Bacterial small subunit ribosomal RNA", at positions 524 to 776 of the family's 1533-position model. The record is from RNAcentral.